AAGCGUGCGCAGGCGGUUAUAUAAGACAGAUGUGAAAUCCCCGGGCUCAACCUGGGAACUGCAUUUGUGACUGUAUAGCUGGAGUGCGGCAGAGGGGGAUGGAAUUCCGCGUGUAGCAGUGAAAUGCGUAGAUAUGCGGAGGAACACCGAUGGCGAAGGCAAUCCCCCUGGGCCUGCACUGACGCUCAUGCACGAAAGCGUGGGGAGCAAACAGGAUUAGAUACCCCUGU
RNAcentral lists this ribosomal RNA (230 nucleotides) under uncultured bacterium. RNAcentral's name for it is "partial 16S ribosomal RNA". It matches the Rfam family "Bacterial small subunit ribosomal RNA", at positions 563 to 791 of the family's 1533-position model. The record is from RNAcentral.